Molecule: non-coding RNA, 364 nt
Organism: Cucurbita pepo subsp. pepo (vegetable marrow)
Lineage: Eukaryota; Viridiplantae; Streptophyta; Magnoliopsida; Cucurbitales; Cucurbitaceae
Source: RefSeq, a predicted model, not a curated record
GACGGUUGGCCUUGUAAUUUCUUCGGUCCGUUCUUCCGUUCGAGAGCGCAUGUUCCGAUGUUGAAAACGGGGAGUUCUGGAGACUGAUUCGGCUCCGCUUUGCAAGACGAUUGAACAUGAACCGCCUCCAUGUUCUGAAUCUCGUUUGCGAGAAAACCUAAUUCCUCUUCCUCUUCUUCUCCCUCCACAUUCGGACGCUCUGCUUGAAAUGGCAGAGGCACAGCUACUUCCAUGGCGGCGUAGGCGGAAUCGGCCAUUUCUGGAACUGAGAACUCGUUUGCCAAAGGAUGAUAAAAUUCAUCCAGAUUCUGAGUGGAUAGAGGUUCCGAUGAUGAAUUUGGGUGGAAAUUGGAAACGUUCUGAU